Non-coding RNA from Maylandia zebra (zebra mbuna), 600 nucleotides. Lineage: Eukaryota; Metazoa; Chordata; Actinopteri; Cichliformes; Cichlidae. The record is from RefSeq and is a predicted model, not a curated record.
UGAGGCUGCUGCCAGUGGUCAAAGCCUCCAACAAAGCAUUACUUAGCACCUGUAACCUCUCACAGAGAAGCUGUGAAGCUCUGUCCUCAGCUCUCAGCUCCCAGUCCUGUAGACUGAGAGAGUUGGACCUCAGUAACAACAACCUACAAGAUUCAGGAGUGAAGCUUCUAUCUGCUGGAGUGGAGAGUGCACAUUGUACACUGGAAACUCUGAGACUAUAUGGGUGUUUCCUCUCUGAGAGAAGCUGUGAAUCUCUGUCCUCAGUUCUCAGCUCCCAAUCCUCUAGCCUUAGGGAUCUGGGCCUGAGUAACAACAACCUACAAGAUUCAGGAGUGAAGCUUCUGUCUGCUGGAGUGAAAAGUCCACAUUGUAAACUGGCAGCUCUGAGACUUAGCACCUGUAACCUCUCACAGAGAAGCUGUGAAGCUCUGUCCUCAGCUCUCAGCUCCCAGUCCUGUAGACUGAGAGAGUUGGACCUCAGUAACAACAACCUACAAGAUUCAGGAGUGAAGCUUCUAUCUGCUGGAGUGGAGAGCGCACAUUGUACACUGGAAACUCUGAGACUAUAUGGGUGUUUCCUCUCUGAGAGAAGCUGUGAAU